GACGAACGCUGGCGGCGUGCUUAACACAUGCAAGUCGAACGGAAAGGCCCUGCUUUUGUGGGGUGCUCGAGUGGCGAACGGGUGAGUAACACGUGAGUAACCUGCCCUUGACUUUGGGAUAACUUCAGGAAACUGGGGCUAAUCCCGGAUAGGAGCUCCUGCUGCAUGGUGGGGGUUGGAAAGUUUCGGCGGUUGGGGAUGGACUGGCGGCUUAUCAGCUUGUUGGUGGGGUAGUGGCUUACCAAGGCUUUGACGGGUAGCCGGCCUGGGAGGGUGACCGGCCACAUUGGGACUGAGAUACGGCCCAGACUCCUACGGGAGGCAGCAGUGGGGAAUAUUGCACAAUGGGCGGAAGCCUGAUGCAGCAACGCCGCGUGCGGGAUGACGGCCUUCGGGUUGUAAACCGCUUUCGCCUGUGACGAAGCGUGAGUGACGGUAAUGGGUAAAGAAGCACCGGCUAACUACGUG
Molecule: ribosomal RNA, 468 nt
Filed under: uncultured bacterium
Lineage: Bacteria
Description: partial 16S ribosomal RNA
Rfam family: Bacterial small subunit ribosomal RNA
Source: RNAcentral